RNAcentral lists this unclassified non-coding RNA (302 nucleotides) under Hevea brasiliensis (rubber tree). The record is from RNAcentral. Lineage: Eukaryota; Viridiplantae; Streptophyta; Magnoliopsida; Malpighiales; Euphorbiaceae.
GGAAAAUCAUUUCAAUAAAAUGUGAGCUUGCUUCCAACCUAGACAUGAGCUUGCAUCUUGCUAGGCACCCACCUCAUGGCCAAAAGUUAUAAGAAAGAUGUUGGGCUUUUUAGGAAUAAUUCGAAAGUCUUGCCUGGUUACCCAGGACUUUAAGAGAGCUGCUUUAAGGGUAGACACACUGAAAGUUCUUUGUGAACAGAGUUAAGCGACUAACAUUCUUUUGUAUACAUUUGUUGGCUGAACCACUUUCUAUGUUCUAGUCUGACACCACAGUGCGGAGGGGCAGAGAACUUUCGACUUCU